GACGAACGCUGGCGGCGUGCUUAACACAUGCAAGUCGAACGGAAAGGCCCUGCUGUUGUUUGGUGCUCGAGUGGCGAACGGUUGAGUAACGCGGGAGUAACCUGCCCUUGACUUUGGGAUAACUUCAGGAAACUGGGGCUAAUACCGGAUAGGAGCUCCUGCUGCAUGGUGUUGGUUGGAAAGUUUCGGCGGUUGGGGAUUGACUCGCGGCUUAUCAGCUUGUCGGUGGGGUAGUUGCUUACCAAGGCUUUGACGGGUAGCCGGCCUGAGAGGGUGACCGGCCACAUUGGGACUGAGAUACGGCCCAGACUCCUACGGGAGGAAGCAGUGGGGAAUAGUGCACAAUGGGCGGCAGCCUGAUGCAGCAACGCCGCGUGCGGGAUGACGGCCUUAGGGUUGUAACCCGCUUUCGCCUGUGACGAAGCGUGAGUGACGGUAAUGUGUAAAGAAGCACCGGCUAACUACGUG
Molecule: ribosomal RNA, 468 nt
Filed under: uncultured bacterium
Lineage: Bacteria
Description: partial 16S ribosomal RNA
Rfam family: Bacterial small subunit ribosomal RNA
Source: RNAcentral